AAUCUUAUAGUCAUGUAAUGACGUUAGACUGCAAUUCUAAAGGAGUAAUUAAAUAUUACUAAGGUUU
Molecule: transfer RNA, 67 nt
Filed under: Xizicus fascipes
Lineage: Eukaryota; Metazoa; Arthropoda; Insecta; Orthoptera; Tettigoniidae
Description: tRNA-Cys
Source: RNAcentral